This 308-nucleotide long non-coding RNA is filed under the name Carica papaya (papaya). RNAcentral's name for it is "long non-coding RNA (CPAP_LNC015179)". Lineage: Eukaryota; Viridiplantae; Streptophyta; Magnoliopsida; Brassicales; Caricaceae. The record is from RNAcentral.
GUCAUUAUGUCUCUCUUUAACUCACUGUCGUCUGGGACACACACCCUGUCCUGGAAUCAGAGUAACCCAUCAGCAGAGAUUCGAAAUUCUGAGCUCACUCCCUGUUCUGCAUCAUUCUUGCGGGCUACCAGGGCGGGGUCGACUGACUGGGCUUCCCUUAUUUUCUGUAUUAACUUGGGCUGGACGGUCAGACGGCCCAAACAUGCGACUCUCUUCAGGUCCUGAAGCCGAACCUGUUGUGUGACCCUAAUUUGCCUACGUUCUGAAACCAUUAAAUGGGCUAAGAUACCUGCACUUUUCCUGCUGAG